CAGUCGCCGCGGUAAUACGAAGGGUGCAAGCGUUAAUCGGAAUUACUGGGCGUAAAGCGUGCGUAGGCGGUGAGUUAAGUCUGCUGUGAAAUCCCCGGGCUCAACCUGGGAAUGGCAGUGGAUACUGGCUCGCUAGAGUGUGUCAGAGGAUGGUGGAAUUCCCGGUGUAGCGGUGAAAUGCGUAGAGAUCGGGAGGAACAUCAGUGGCGAAGGCGGCCAUCUGGGACAACACUGACGCUGAGGCACGAAAGCGUGGGGAGCAGACAGGAUUAGAUACCCCUGUAGUCCCUGUCUCUUAUAC
This 301-nucleotide ribosomal RNA is filed under the name uncultured bacterium. RNAcentral describes it as "partial 16S ribosomal RNA". It matches the Rfam family "Bacterial small subunit ribosomal RNA", at positions 509 to 807 of the family's 1533-position model. The record is from RNAcentral.